Molecule: ribosomal RNA, 429 nt
Filed under: Acidobacteriota bacterium
Lineage: Bacteria; Pseudomonadati; Acidobacteriota
Description: Acidobacteria bacterium partial 16S ribosomal RNA
Rfam family: Bacterial small subunit ribosomal RNA
Source: RNAcentral
UGGGGAAUUUUGGACAAUGGGGGAAACCCUGAUCCAGCCAUCCCGCGUGUGCGAUGAAGGCCUUCGGGUUGUAAAGCACUUUUGGCAGGAAAGAAACGUCAUGGGUUAAUACCCCGUGAAACUGACGGUACCUGCAGAAUAAGCACCGGCUAACUACGUGCCAGCAGCCGCGGUAAUACGUAGGGUGCAAGCGUUAAUCGGAAUUACUGGGCGUAAAGCGUGCGCAGGCGGUUCGGAAAGAAAGAUGUGAAAUCCCAGAGCUCAACUUUGGAUCUGCAUUUUUAACUACCGGGCUAGAGUGUGUCAGAGGGAGGUGGAAUUCCGCGUGUAGCAGUGAAAUGCGUAGAUAUGCGGAGGAACACCGAUGGCGAAGGCAGCCUCCUGGGAUAACACUGACGCUCAUGCACGAAAGCGUGGGGAGCAAACAGG